This is a long non-coding RNA of Lactuca sativa (garden lettuce), 690 nucleotides long. RefSeq lists it as uncharacterized. Lineage: Eukaryota; Viridiplantae; Streptophyta; Magnoliopsida; Asterales; Asteraceae. The record is from RefSeq and is a predicted model, not a curated record.
UGGUUAUUUGAUCAAGAUGAAUCAAAUGGGUUUUUUAACGAGGAAUUGAUGAGGUUCAGAAUACAUAAUAAUAAAUUAAAAGAUUUACAACAAAGUAUUAUAUUUUAUUACUAUAAAAAUAUCCAUUUAUUUUUUUCAAUCUAGACAACGUUGGAAGUUAACUAAUAAUGCAAGUUUCACUCCCUGAUCACUACUCAAUUUGUUUAUAUAUACAAGUUUUCUAUUCACACAUGGAUGCAUAUUCCCUGCAUCUUUUUUCCAAUUUCUCUCACAAAAAUGUCUCAGGGAGGAGUGCGCCGCCACCAAAGGAGGCUAUCUCAGUCGGUUUUCGACUUCCCGGACGAUGUUCUUCAACCACCUCCCGUGGCGGACAAUGACAGUUUCGACAAGGAAUUGAGGAAUGCAAACUCGGCGUCUAAGGUACCAGAACAACAACAUAGUACACGUCCAACCUUAGACGCUUCCACACAUUUGAAAGAGAAAGGUGUAGCUUCUUCCUUACCCCCAACGUCACAAAAGAAGUCGUAACGCUAGCUGGAAAAUACAUGCUAGUUAGCUUAAGUUGGGAAAUUAAGUGUGUAACAAAUGGUUCUCUUUCUCUAGCUUCUUGUUACAUUUAUUUCGUGUUGCAGUGUCAUGUUAAUUUCUAGUUCGAUGAUGUGAAAUAAAGUAUCGUAUUGGCAACCACAA